GCGGGAGUUGCCAAGUCUGGUCAAAGGCGGCGGACUUAAGAUCCGCCCUCGUAGGAGUUCGUGGGUUCGAACCCCACCUCCCGC
This 84-nucleotide transfer RNA is filed under the name Candidatus Thorarchaeota archaeon. Its description in RNAcentral is "tRNA-Leu". It matches the Rfam family "tRNA". Rfam says of the family: Transfer RNA (tRNA) molecules are approximately 80 nucleotides in length. Their secondary structure includes four short double-helical elements and three loops (D, anti-codon, and T loops). The record is from RNAcentral. Lineage: Archaea; Promethearchaeati; Candidatus Thorarchaeota.